AAUGAACGCUGGCGGCAGGCCUAACACAUGCAAGUCGAACGGAUCCUUCGGGAUUAGUGGCGGACGGGUGAGUAACGCGUGGGAACAUACCCUUUGGUACGGAAUAGCCUCGGGCAGCUGGGAGUAAUACCGUACGUGGUCGAGAGACGAAAGAUUUAUCGCCAAAGGAUUGGCCCGCGUUGGAUUAGGUAGUUGGUGGGGUAAUGGCCUACCAAGCCGACGAUCCAUAGCUGGUUUGAGAGGAUGAUCAGCCACACUGGGACUGAGACACGGCCCAGACUCCUACGGGAGGCAGCAGUGGGGAAUCUUAGACAAUGGGGGAAACCCUGAUCUAGCCAUGCCGCGUGAUCGAUGAAGGCCUUAGGGUUGUAAAGAUCUUUCAGGUGGGAAGAUAAUGACUGUACCACCAGGAGAAGCCCCGGCUAACUCCGUGCCAGCCGCCGCCGUAA
Molecule: ribosomal RNA, 449 nt
Filed under: uncultured bacterium
Lineage: Bacteria
Description: partial 16S ribosomal RNA
Rfam family: Bacterial small subunit ribosomal RNA
Source: RNAcentral